Molecule: long non-coding RNA, 287 nt
Filed under: Phoenix dactylifera (date palm)
Lineage: Eukaryota; Viridiplantae; Streptophyta; Magnoliopsida; Arecales; Arecaceae
Description: long non-coding RNA (PDAC_LNC022407)
Source: RNAcentral
UCGAUGUCGAAUGCGAUGCCGAAGGACGGUCUGCGAAAGAACUCCAAAAGAAAGAUUGCAGCAAUCCAGAUGGAUAAUGCAAGAAAGACGAAACAGCGGGGUAUGCGGGAAGAGACCUAUCGGACUGGGGUUGGAGCCGGGAGAAGGAGCGCCGGAAGCAACGCGACCGGCUGGUUUUGAUAUUGGCCAAAGAGGCCCUGAAGACGGAGCGGAAUCUCAUCUUCCUUCUCUCCUUUUCUGACACCGGCUCUGCUACCUCCUUUCCCCUGGGCAGGGUUUUAAGGCUC